AGAGUUUGAUCCUGGCUCAGGACGAACGCUGGCGGCGUGCCUAACACAUGCAAGUCGAACGGAGAGUUAGCAAUAACUCUUAGUGGCGAACGGGUGAGUAACGCGUAGACAACCUGCCUCUAAACUGGGGACAACACCGCGAAAGUGGUGCUAAUACCGAAUGUGGUAACUUGGCUGCAUGGCUGAGUUAAGAAAGAUGGCCUCUUAGCAAUGCUAUCGUUUAGAGAUGGGUCUGCGUCUGAUUAGCUAGUUGGUGAGGUAAUGGCUCACCAAGGCGACGAUCAGUAGCCGGUCUGAGAGGAUGAACGGCCACACUGGGACUGAGACACGGCCCAGACUCCUACGGGAGGCAGCAGUGGGGAAUCUUCCGCAAUGGACGAAAGUCUGACGGAGCAACGCCGCGUGAGUGAAGAAGGUCUUCGGAUUGUAAAGCUCUGUCGUUUGGGACGAACGUGGAUU
This 459-nucleotide ribosomal RNA is filed under the name uncultured bacterium. RNAcentral's name for it is "SSU rRNA". It matches the Rfam family "Bacterial small subunit ribosomal RNA", at positions 8 to 457 of the family's 1533-position model. The record is from RNAcentral.